GUAUUCUUUGACGAUGUUGAUAUAAUGGACAAUUUUCAGAAUAGACAUAUAUCUUAGAAAUGUCUUUUAAAACUGAAUUCUGAACAAAUCUCGCAAGGGCUGCUCCCUUUUCGGUUUGUUUGUAUUCAAGACUUGGCACUAUGCACUGUUCACAGAUAAACGGGACUGACUGUAUGCGGAGGGCAGCAUACUGCAGGCUGCAGGGAGACAUACAGUGCUUUUUGCCCAACAGACUCUUAAGGAAAUGCAGCACUUCUCCUUCAAGAUUUAAGAUACCGUUCUUCUGGAGGAAAACACUGAAAGCAGUCCUAGAUGCACAUUUUGUUUUAAUCUCCUUUUUCCAAAACGGUGUGGGAGAAACUUUUCUUAGUGGCUAUGAUACAGUUGUUGGGGUGCACCCGUUGAAUGCAAGUUUCAAGGGCAGCUACCAGGCCUGAGGACUUCGGAACUUGUUCUUCUAAAUCUUCCUUCUCUGUGAUUUUGAAGAAUCAUAAAAUAGCAUCAAUAAAUUCAUAUUCUACUUAGAAAAUGGAUUAAAGUCACCUACGUAACUUGGUUGAAAGGAAGCGGUGAUAUGCUGCCCUAAUGCUGACUUGUAGCAGAAGAACUAAAAGUUUUUGGACCGUCAGCAGCAGCAAGAAAUCACAGAGCUGUAUUUACAGAGGCCAUUAAUUGUCCAGACUGUUGGGUAACAAAUUCUGAUAAACACGGAUCAGGAUAUGGUUCUUGAAUUAUGCAGAGGAUAAUUUCACAAUCCAGAAAACAGAGAAUUCAAGCAUAGAAAAAGCCAUACAAAACAUCUUAUUGCCAGCUGGGGAGGAAUUUGCAAUGAUGUCAGAAUUACAGGAAAGUUCAGCGCUAGUGACACUGGUCUGCUGGAUCACUCUGUGUGAUAAGGAACAGCUUUAGACAGUGGUCACAAUUACAGUUACAUACUCCACAAAGUAACUGACAUUAUGGCAAAAUGGGCCAUAGCAAUUAGAGGAAAGCUGUGAUAAAGCUAAGUGGACAGAAGCCUGCAAAUGUCUUAGUGAAAACUACUGUAAAACAUGUCGCUACAUGGGUGAUAGAUUUCAAUAUAUAAAAAAAAAGGGACUUAGGAAACGAUGAGCAGAUGCAGCAAUGGAGAAAAGAAAUGGCACUAUGGUGGAAAUAGGCUGGAACAUUCCAAAUGAUACAUAAUUAAAGUACAACAGAUCUUAGCUCCUCUUGAAAAAGGAAUAUUGUCCCUUUCUCGGGAAGUUAACUGUUUGGUAGAGGACCACAAGCGAGCCCAGUACUGCUGCCCUUUACUGUAAUCAGGUUAAAGGGCUGUCACUUACCUCUGAAAUGGGAGCUCAAGUGAUAUCUGUCAACCUUUGGAAGUUUUGCUGGA
Molecule: long non-coding RNA, 1375 nt
Organism: Gallus gallus (chicken)
Lineage: Eukaryota; Metazoa; Chordata; Aves; Galliformes; Phasianidae
Source: Ensembl